AUUGAACGCUGGCGGCAUGCUUUACACAUGCAAGUCGAACAGUAACAGGUUAAGCUGACGAGUGGCGAACGGGUGAGUAAUGCAUCGGAACGUGCCCGAUCGUGGGGGAUAACGCAGCGAAAGCUGCGCUAAUACCGCAUACGAUCUGAGGAUGAAAGCGGGGGACCGUAAGGCCUCGCGCGAUCGGAGCGGCCGAUGUCAGAUUAGGUAGUUGGUGGGGUAAAGGCUCACCAAGCCAACGAUCUGUAGCUGGUCUGAGAGGACGACCAGCCACACUGGGACUGAGACACGGCCCAGACUCCUACGGGAGGCAGCAGUGGGGAAUUUUGGACAAUGGGCGAAAGCCUGAUCCAGCAAUGCCGCGUGCAGGAAGAAGGCCUUCGGGUUGUAAACUGCUUUUGUACGGAGUGAAAAGGCUCUCUCUAAUACAGGGGGCUCAUGACGGUACCGUAAGAAUAAGCACCGGCUAACUACGUGCCAGCCGCCGCAGUAA
This 493-nucleotide ribosomal RNA is filed under the name uncultured bacterium. RNAcentral's name for it is "partial 16S ribosomal RNA". It matches the Rfam family "Bacterial small subunit ribosomal RNA", at positions 30 to 523 of the family's 1533-position model. The record is from RNAcentral.